Molecule: ribosomal RNA, 399 nt
Filed under: uncultured bacterium
Lineage: Bacteria
Description: bacterial SSU rRNA
Rfam family: Bacterial small subunit ribosomal RNA
Source: RNAcentral
GGAAUAUUGCACAAUGGGGGAAACCCUGAUGCAGCGACGCCGCGUGAGUGAAGAAGUAUUUCGGUAUGUAAAGCUCUAUCAGCAGGGAAGAUGAUGACGGUACCUGACUAAGAAGCCCCGGCUAACUACGUGCCAGCAGCCGCGGUAAUACGUAGGGGGCAAGCGUUAUCCGGAUUUACUGGGUGUAAAGGGAGCGUAGACGGCCAGACAAGUCUGAAGUGAAAUCCCGCGGCUCAACCGCGGAACUGCUUUGGAAACUGCCAGGCUUGAGUGCAGGAGGGGUAAGUGGAAUUCCUAGUGUAGCGGUGAAAUGCGUAGAUAUUAGGAGGAACACCGGUGGCGAAGGCGGCUUACUGGACUGUAACUGACGUUGAGGCUCGAAAGCGUGGGGAGCAAACA